GAUCAUGCUCAGGAUGAACGCUAGCGACAGGCUUAACACAUGCAAGUCGAGGGGCAUCAUGAGGUAGCAAUACCUUGAUGGCGACCGGCGCACGGGUGAGUAACGCGUAUGCAACCUGCCUGAUACCGGGGUAUAGCCUAUGGAAACGUGGAUUAACGCCCCAUAGUACUUUUAUCCUGCAUGGGAUGUGAGUUAAAUGUUCAAGGUAUCAGAUGGGCAUGCG
This 223-nucleotide ribosomal RNA is filed under the name uncultured bacterium. Its description in RNAcentral is "partial 16S ribosomal RNA". It matches the Rfam family "Bacterial small subunit ribosomal RNA", at positions 15 to 235 of the family's 1533-position model. The record is from RNAcentral.